This 251-nucleotide ribosomal RNA is filed under the name uncultured bacterium. RNAcentral's name for it is "partial 16S ribosomal RNA". It matches the Rfam family "Bacterial small subunit ribosomal RNA", at positions 57 to 305 of the family's 1533-position model. The record is from RNAcentral.
GCAAGUCGAACGGUAACAUGGAAGCUUGCUUCUGAUGACGAGUGGCGCACGGGUGAGUAACGCGUACACAACCUACCUUUAAGAGGGGGAUAGCCCAGGGAAACUUGGAGUAAUCCGCCAUGUGAUUAUUGAGUGGCAUCGCUUGAUAAUUAAAACUACGGUGCUUGAAGAUGGGUGUGCGUUUGAUUAGUUAGUUGGUGAGGUAACGGCUCACCAAGACGAUGAUCAAUAGGGGGCGUGAGAGCGUGAUC